UGUCCAGGGGGCCGCCUUCGCCACCGGUAUUCCUCCAGAUCUCUACGCAUUUCACCGCUACACCUGGAAUUCUACCCCCCUCUACAAGACUCUAGCCUGCCAGUUUCGGAUGCAGUUCCCAGGUUGAGCCCGGGGAUUUCACAUCCGACUUGACAGACCGCCUGCGUGCGCUUUACGCCCAGUAAUUCCGAUUAACGCUUGCACCCUCCGUAUUACCGCGGCUGCUGGCACGGAGUUAGCCGGUGCUUCUUCUGCGAGUAACGUCAAUUGCUGAGGUUAUUAACCACAACACCUUCCUCCUCGCUGAAAGUACUUUACAACCCGAAGGCCUUCUUCAUACACGCGGCAUGGCUGCAUCAGGCUUGCGCCCAUUGUGCAAUAUUCCCCACUGCUGCCUCCCGUAGGAGUCUGGACCGUGUCUCAGUUCCAGUGUGGCUGGUCAUCCUCUCAGACCAGCUAGGGAUCGUCGCCUAGGUGAGCCGUUACCCCACCUACUAGCUAAUCCCAUCUGGGCACAUCCGAUGGCAAGAGGCCCGAAGGUCCCCCUCUUUGGUCUUGCGACGUUAUGCGGUAUUAGCUACCGUUUCCAGUAGUUAUCCCCCUCCAUCGGGCAGUUUCCCAGACAUUACUCACCCGUCCGCCACUCGUCACCCAAGGAGCAAGCUCCUCUGUGCUACCGUUCGACUUGCAUGUGUUAGG
RNAcentral lists this ribosomal RNA (699 nucleotides) under Citrobacter youngae. Its description in RNAcentral is "partial 16S rRNA". Lineage: Bacteria; Pseudomonadati; Pseudomonadota; Gammaproteobacteria; Enterobacterales; Enterobacteriaceae. The record is from RNAcentral.